GAUGAAGAACGUAGCGAAAUGCGAUAAGUAGUGUGAAUUGCAGAAUUCAGUGAAUCACCGAAUCUUUGAACGCACAUUGCGCCCUUUGGUAUUCCAAAGGGCAUGCCUGUUCGAGCGUCAUUUGUACCCUCAAGCUUUGCUUGGUGUUGGGCGUCUUGUCUCUAGCUUUGCUGGAGACUCGCCUUAAAGUAAUUGGCAGCCGGCCUACUGGUUUCGGAGCGCAGCACAAGUCGCACUCUCUAUCAGCAAAGGUCUAGCAUCCAUUAAGCCUUUUUUUCAACUUUUGACCUCGGAUCAGGUAGGGAUACCCGCUGAACUUAAGCAUAUCAAUAAGCGGAGGA
RNAcentral lists this unclassified non-coding RNA (341 nucleotides) under soil metagenome. Its description in RNAcentral is "partial contains 5.8S ribosomal RNA, internal transcribed spacer 2, and large subunit ribosomal RNA". The stretch from base 1 to 120 matches the Rfam family "5.8S ribosomal RNA", at positions 35 to 154 of the family's 154-position model. The record is from RNAcentral.